Pelobates cultripes (western spadefoot toad) is the source of this 301-nucleotide non-coding RNA. The record is from the annotation of a GenBank genome assembly. Lineage: Eukaryota; Metazoa; Chordata; Amphibia; Anura; Pelobatidae.
AUUGGAAGAAGCGAAAUGGCGUGAAAUUCGAACGCCAUAAAACCAGGAGAAGGCGCAAUGAUGGACAUGCCAACCGAGGAAGCCGGUAAUUCUGGCAAAACGCGUCUUGGCGAAAGGAGCAGGCUGUAUAUUAUACAUUUGUAUAUAUACACAUUUUUUAUUUUUGCAUAUUUUAGUGUUAUUUUAAUUGAUACAAAAUAAAAAAAAUUCUGAAGUUUAUCAUUUCAUACCUGGUUCCAGUAAGGGAGGUGUCACCCUGGAAUUUGACACCAAGCGAAGACACUUAGAGCCAGUCUAUAAA